This 493-nucleotide ribosomal RNA is filed under the name uncultured bacterium. RNAcentral's name for it is "partial 16S ribosomal RNA". It matches the Rfam family "Bacterial small subunit ribosomal RNA", at positions 30 to 523 of the family's 1533-position model. The record is from RNAcentral.
AUUGAACGCUGGCGGCAUGCCUUACACAUGCAAGUCGAACGGUAACAGGUUAAGCUGACGAGUGGCGAACGGGUGAGUAAUGUAUCGGAACGUGCCCAGUCGUGGGGGAUAACGUAGCGAAAGCUACGCUAAUACCGCAUACGAUCUACGGAUGAAAGCGGGGGAUCGCAAGACCUCGCGCGAUUGGAGCGGCCGAUAUCAGAGUAGGUUGUUGGGGAGGUAAAAGCUCACCAAGCCUGCGAUCUGUAGCUGGUCUGAGGGGACGACUAGCCACACUGGAACUGAGACACGGUCCAGACUCCUACGGGAGGAAGCAGUGGGGAAUUUUGGACAAUGGACGCAAGUCUGAUCCAGCAAUGCCGCGUGCAGGACGAAGGCCUUCGGGUUGUAAACUGCUUUUGUACGGAACGAAACGGUGAGCUCUAAUACAGUUUGCUAAUGACGGUACCGUAAGAAUAAGCACCGGCUAACUACGUGCCAGCCGCCGCUGUAA